GACGAACGCUGGCGGCGUGCCUAAUACAUGCAAGUAGAACGCUGAAGGAGGAGCUUGCUUCUCUGGAUGAGUUGCGAACGGGUGAGUAACGCGUAGGUAACCUGCCUGGUAGCGGGGGAUAACUAUUGGAAACGAUAGCUAAUACCGCAUAAUAGUAGAUGUUGCAUGACAUUUGCUUAAAAGGUGCAAUUGCAUCACUACCAGAUGGACCUGCGUUGUAUUAGCUAGUUGGUGAGGUAACGGCUCACCAAGUCAACGAUACAUAGCCGACCUGAGAGGGUGAUCGGCCACACUGGGACUGAGACACGGCCCAGAAUCCUACGGGAGGCAGCAGUAGGGAAUCUUCGGAAAUGGACGGAAGUCAGAACGAGCAACGCCGCGUGAGUGAAGAAGGUGUUCGGAUCGUAAAGCUAUGUUGUAAGAGAAGAACGAGUGUGAGAGUGGAAAGUUCACACUGUGACGGUAUCUUACCAGAAAGGGACGGAUAACUACGUG
RNAcentral lists this ribosomal RNA (495 nucleotides) under uncultured bacterium. RNAcentral's name for it is "partial 16S ribosomal RNA". It matches the Rfam family "Bacterial small subunit ribosomal RNA", at positions 28 to 507 of the family's 1533-position model. The record is from RNAcentral.